RNAcentral lists this ribosomal RNA (465 nucleotides) under uncultured bacterium. RNAcentral describes it as "partial 16S ribosomal RNA". It matches the Rfam family "Bacterial small subunit ribosomal RNA", at positions 28 to 507 of the family's 1533-position model. The record is from RNAcentral.
GACGAACGCUGGCGGCGUGCUUAACACAUGCAAGUCGUACGGUAAGGCCCUUUCGGGGGUACACGAGUGGCGAACGGGGGAGUAACACGUGAGUAACCUGCCCACAACUUUGGGAUAACGCUAGGAAAGUGGUGCUAAUACUGGAUAUGUGCUCCUGCUGCAUGGUGGGGGUUGGAAAGCUCCGGCGGGUGUGGAUGGACUCGCAGGCUAUCUGCUUGUUGGUGGGGUAGUGGCCUACCAAGGCGGCGGCGGGUAGCCGGCCUGGGGGGGUGACCGGCCACAUUGGGACCUAGAGAAGGCCCAGACUCCUACGGGAGGGAACAGGGGGGAAUAUUGCCCAAUGGGCGCAAGCCUGGUGCAGCAACGCCGCGUGCCGGAAGACGGCCUUCGGGUUGUAAACCGCUUUCAGCAGGGACGAAGCUUUUUGUGACGGUACCUGCAGAAGAAGCACCGGCUAACUACGUG